ACGGCUCACUAACACUUGGAUAACCUGCCCUUGGGUCCGGCAUAACUCCGAGAAACUGGASAUAAUUCCGGAUAAGGCAUAUGUGCUGGAAUGCUUUAUGCGUAAAAUGGAUUCGUCUGCCCAAGGAUGGGUCUGCGGCCUAUCAAGUAGUACUGGGUGUAAUGUACCUACUACCCUACUACGGGUACRGGUUGUGAGAGCAAGAGCCCGGAGAUGGAUUCUGAGACAUGAAUCCAGGCCCUACGGGGCGCACCAGGCGCGAAAACUUUACAAUGCGGGAAACCGUGAUAAGGGGACACCGAGUGCCAGCAUCAUAUGCUGGCUGUCCAGGUGUGUAAAAUACACCUGUUAGCAAGGGCCGGGCAAGACCGGUGCCAGCUGCCGCGGUAACACCGGCGGCCCGAGUGGUGAUCGUGAUUAUUGGGUCUAAAGGGUCCGUAGCCGGUUUGGUCAGUCCUCCGGGAAAUCUGAUAGCUCAACUAUUAGGCUUUCGGAGGAUACUGCCAGACUUGGAACCGGGAGAGGUAAGAGGUACUACAGGGGUAGGAGUGAAAUCUUGUAAUCCCUGUGGGACCACCUGUGUCGAAGGCGUCUUACCAGAACGGGUUCGACGGUGAGGGACGAAAGCUGGGGGCACGAACCGGAUUAGAUACCCGGGUAGUCCCACCCGUAAACGAUGCUCGAUAGGUGUCAGGCAUGGCGCCACCGUGUCUGGUGCCGCAGGGAAGCCGUGAAGCGAGCCACCUGGGAAGUACGGCCGCAAGGCUGAAAGUUAAAGGAAUUGGCGGGGGACCAC
RNAcentral lists this ribosomal RNA (796 nucleotides) under uncultured archaeon. Its description in RNAcentral is "bacterial SSU rRNA". It matches the Rfam family "Archaeal small subunit ribosomal RNA", at positions 85 to 879 of the family's 1478-position model. The record is from RNAcentral.